This 419-nucleotide ribosomal RNA is filed under the name uncultured bacterium. Its description in RNAcentral is "partial 16S ribosomal RNA". It matches the Rfam family "Bacterial small subunit ribosomal RNA", at positions 355 to 766 of the family's 1533-position model. The record is from RNAcentral.
UAGGGAAUCUUCCACAAUGGACGCAAGUCUGAUGGAGCAACGCCGCGUGAGUGAAGAAGGUCUUCGGAUCGUAAAGCUCUGUUGUUGGUGAAGAAGGAUAGAGGCAGUAACUGGUCUUUAUUUGACGGUAAUCAACCAGAAAGUCACGGCUAACUACGUGCCAGCAGCCGCGGUAAUACGUAGGUGGCAAGCGUUGUCCGGAUUUAUUGGGCGUAAAGCGAGCGCAGGCGGAAUGAUAAGUCUGAUGUGAAAGCCCACGGCUCAACCGUGGAACUGCAUCGGAAACUGUCAUUCUUGAGUGCAGAAGAGGAGAGUGGAACUCCAUGUGUAGCGGUGGAAUGCGUAGAUAUAUGGAAGAACACCAGUGGCGAAGGCGGCUCUCUGGUCUGCAACCGACGCUGAGGCUCGAAAGCAUGGGU